Arabidopsis lyrata subsp. lyrata is the source of this 1154-nucleotide long non-coding RNA. RefSeq lists it as uncharacterized. NCBI's taxonomy places the organism in Eukaryota, Viridiplantae, Streptophyta, Magnoliopsida, Brassicales, Brassicaceae. The transcript has 3 exons. The record is from RefSeq and is a predicted model, not a curated record.
AGCAGUAACCAAAACAGAGAACCAAAACAAUGGCUUUCUUCUCCGCAGCAACAUCUCUUCUCCUCCUAGUCCUCUCUGUUUCCUCUCCUUAUGUUCAUGGAAACAUUAUACCAGCCUCCGGGUGUACCCUUGUUGUUCCCCUGUUCCCAUGUUUAUCAUUUAUAACGAUCGGGAGUACGAUGGAUACACCCUCAAAUUCGUGCUGCUCCAGUCUCAAGAAUAUCCUCGAUACGGAACCGGAAUGUCUAUACGAAGAAGGGCCGGCGCAGAGGGCAAGCCACCGAAGCCACCGAUUAGGGCCUCAAAAUUUGAGGGCCUUUUUACCUAAAAACUUGUUAAGUUUUCCUUAUAUACAAUAAUUUUUGUAGGGCCUUUUAAAAAUAUUGUUGGCUUUUAGAGACAACUACAACAUUUUUUUUAAUGGUAAAAAUCUAAUUUAAAAGAAUUUUUUUUUUAUGGCUUUAAUUUUGCUUAGGGCACCCAAAUUUACCGGGCCGGCACUGAUGCGAAGGGUUGAAGAACACUGCCUCUUACGGAAUCAAACUUAACGUUACUAAGGCUACUACUCUUCCCGAUGCUUGUAAAGUUUAUGCUCCUCCGGUGGCAGCUUGUGGUGCAUUGUCUCCUGCUAGUCCUCCUGCUACUAAUGCGCAAGGAAAAUGGAAUUUUUUUGGACUUCUUGCUUGAAUCAAGUUUUGGUUGGCGUUAUUAAAAAAAAUUAGUCCUUUUUCGUCUUAUAAAGCUUGUGUGGAUGUGAUAUCUAGUGUAAUGUGCCAUGUUCAUGUAAUAAGAGAAGAGCUUUGUCUAAAUCUCCAUUUUGUUAAAGUUGACAUAUAGUUGUGUGAUUUCUCUUCUGCCAUAUCGUAAAAGACACAAUUCACUUGGCAAAUGCAUAUUUGUCCAAAAGAAUUAUUAACGAACAUCUAAAUAUCAAAAACAUUUUUUAUAUGUGUUUAUCACAAACAAAACACAUAAAUCAAAAGAAUUUUUAACCAACAUCUUAAUAUCACAAACAUAUUUUAUAUGUUGCCAUGGCCCAUGAAUGGAGAAGACAAACAAAACACAUAAAUCAAAAGAAUGUAUUAAGUAUUUCUUAAGUAGGUAAAUUAGAUCUUCAACUUCACCUUCACAUGUUUGACAAACAAUUGUAACAG